Molecule: ribosomal RNA, 301 nt
Filed under: uncultured bacterium
Lineage: Bacteria
Description: partial 16S ribosomal RNA
Rfam family: Bacterial small subunit ribosomal RNA
Source: RNAcentral
CAGUAGCCGCGGUAAUACGAGGGGGGCAAGCGUUGUUCGGAAUUAUUGGGCGUAAAGGGCGCGUAGGCGGUUUGACAAGUUUGGUGUGAAAUCUAUGGGCUCAACCCAUAGCCUGCAUCGAAAACUGUCGGGCUUGAGUAUGGGAGAGGUGAGUGGAGUUUCCGGUGUAGCGGUGAAAUGCGUAGAUAUCGGAAGGAACACCUGUGGCGAAAGCGGCUCACUGGACCAUUACUGACGCUGAGGCGCGAAAGCUAGGGGAGCAAACAGGAUUAGAUACCCGUGUAGUCCCUGUCUCUUAUAA